Molecule: ribosomal RNA, 927 nt
Filed under: Frankia sp.
Lineage: Bacteria; Bacillati; Actinomycetota; Actinomycetes; Frankiales; Frankiaceae
Description: bacterial SSU rRNA
Rfam family: Bacterial small subunit ribosomal RNA
Source: RNAcentral
AACCUGCCCCAAGCUCUGGAAUAACCUCGGGAAACCGGGGCUAAUGCCGGAUAUGACAUUGCCGGGCAUCUGGUGGUGUGGAAAGAUUUAUCGGCUUGGGAUGGGCCCGCGGCCUAUCAGCUUGUUGAUGGGGUGAUGGCCUACCAAGGCGACGACGGGUAGCCGGCCUGAGAGGGCGACCGGCCACACUGGGACUGAGACACGGCCCAGACUCCUACGGGAGGCAGCAGUGGGGAAUAUUGCGCAAUGGGCGAAAGCCUGACGCAGCGACGCCGCAUGAGGGAUGACGGCCUUCGGGUUGUAAACCUCUUUCAGCAGGGACGAAGCGCAAGUGACGGUACCUGCAGAAGAAGCACCGGCCAACUACGUGCCAGCAGGCGCGGUAAUACGUAGGGUCCAAGCGUUGUCCGGAAUUAUUGGGCGUAAAGAGCUCGUAGGCGCCUUGUCACGUCGCCUGUGUAAACUCGGGGCUCAACCCCGAGCCUGCAGUCGAUACGGGCAGGCUAGAGUCCGGCAGGGGAGACUGGAAUUCCUGGUGUAGCGGUGAAAUGCGCAGAUAUCAGGAGGAACACCGGUGGCGAAGGCGGGUCUCUGGGCCGGAACUGACGCUAAGGAGCGAAAGCGUGGGGAGCGAACAGGAUUAGAUACCCUGGUAGUCCACGCCGUAAACGUUGGGCGCUAGGCGUGGGGGACCUUCCACGGCCUCCGUGCCGCAGCUAUCGCAUUAAGCGCCCCGCCUGGGGAGUACGGCCGCAAGGCUAAAACUCAAAGGAAUAGACGGGGGCCCGCACAAGCGGCGGAGCAUGUGGCUUAAUUCGAUGCAACGCGAAGAACCUUACCAGGGCUUGACAUGCAGGGAAAUCUCGUAGAGAUACGGGGUCCGUAAGGGUCCUGCACAGGUGGUGCAUGGCUGUCGUCAGCUCGUGU